Molecule: ribosomal RNA, 484 nt
Filed under: uncultured bacterium
Lineage: Bacteria
Description: partial 16S ribosomal RNA
Rfam family: Bacterial small subunit ribosomal RNA
Source: RNAcentral
AUUGAACGCUGGCGGCAGGCCUAACACAUGCAAGUCGAGCGGAUGAAGGGAGCUUGCUCCUGGAUUCAGCGGCGGACGGGUGAGUAAUGCCUAGGAAUCUGCCUGGUAGUGGGGGAUAACGUCCGGAAACGGGCGCUAAUACCGCAUACGUCCUGAGGGAGAAAGUGGGGGAUCUUCGGACCGCACGCUAUCAGAUGAGCCUAGGUCGGAUUAGCUAGUUGGUGGGGUAAAGGCCUACCAAGGCGACGAUCCGUAACUGGUCUGAGAGGAUGAUCAGUCACACUGGAACUGAGACACGGUCAAGACUCCUACGGGAGGCAGCAGUGGGGAAUAUUGGACAAUGGGCGAAAGCCUGAUACAGCCAUGCCGAGUGUGUGAAGAAGGUCUUCGGAUUGUAAAGCACUUUAAGUUGGGAGGAAGGGCAGUAAGUUAAUACCUUGCUGUUUUGACGUUAACAACAGAAUAAGCACCGGCUAACUUCGUG